Molecule: ribosomal RNA, 252 nt
Filed under: uncultured bacterium
Lineage: Bacteria
Description: partial 16S ribosomal RNA
Rfam family: Bacterial small subunit ribosomal RNA
Source: RNAcentral
UACGUAGGGUGCGAGCGUUAAUCGGAAUUACUGGGCGUAAAGCGCGUGUAGGCUGCUUCGCAAGUCGGGUGUGAAAGCCCUGGGCUCAACCUAGGAAGUGCACUCGAAACUGCGAAGCUCGAGUCCUGGAGAGGAAGGCGGAAUUCUCGGUGUAGAGGUGAAAUUCGUAGAUAUCGAGAGGAACACCGGUGGCGAAGGCGGCCUUCUGGACAGUGACUGACGCUGAGACGCGAAAGCGUGGGGGCAAACAGG